RNAcentral lists this ribosomal RNA (415 nucleotides) under Crepidula convexa. RNAcentral describes it as "eukaryotic LSU rRNA". Lineage: Eukaryota; Metazoa; Mollusca; Gastropoda; Littorinimorpha; Calyptraeidae. The record is from RNAcentral.
AAACCGCCUAGAGGUAAACGGGUGGAUCCGCAAAUUCGGCCCGCGGAAUUCAGCUCGGAAGGUCGUGCGCCCCCGGGUGGGUCGGGGAUCNUUAUCGACCCUCCUACCUCGGGACCGCGCGUCGACCGUGUGCACUUUCCGCGGGCAGAGCGCCACGACCGGUUCUCGGGCGGUCAGAAGGCGGCGGGGAUGGUAGGCGUGCGCUUCGGCGUGCGCUGGUAUAGCCCCGCCUGUCCCGAUCCGCUUGGGGACCGAGGAGCCGCCGUCGGCGUAGGCCGCCUUGCCCUCCUGGGAGGUUCGACUGGCAGAGACUGGGCAACCGUGUCUGCCGACCGCCUUCUCGGACGGAUGGGGUGGGCCCGCCGGCACAGGGUCGGUGGCGAAUCGGUCGGACCUCCACCCGACCCGUCUUGAA